GGGGAUGCAGCUCAGUGUUAGAGUGCUUGCUUAGCAUGCAGUUGAUCCUGGGUUCAAUCCCCAGCACCACCA
Ictidomys tridecemlineatus (thirteen-lined ground squirrel) is the source of this 72-nucleotide non-coding RNA. The record is from Rfam. NCBI's taxonomy places the organism in Eukaryota, Metazoa, Chordata, Mammalia, Rodentia, Sciuridae.